This is a non-coding RNA of Arvicanthis niloticus (Nile rat), 1310 nucleotides long. NCBI's taxonomy places the organism in Eukaryota, Metazoa, Chordata, Mammalia, Rodentia, Muridae. The record is from RefSeq and is a predicted model, not a curated record.
UCAGCCAUUGAAACCCAGCAGAAGAGCAGGCAGGGAAGGGAGGGUGGAGGGGCAGAGGCUCCCCUUUUCAUCUGGGCUUGGUUCCGGAGGAGGCCAAAAGAGGAAUUUACCCAGGGAAGGAAUUUGAAGGCAAAAGUCCCAUCUAAAGUGAAGAUUCCUCCAGAAGCCGACCACAGAGGCCACCAUCGGAAAGCCUGGGCCAGACUUUCUCCCCUACUGUGAUGACGAUGCCUUCACUACCACCAGUAUUGAUCAAAGGUACCAGAUCUCCUGUCAAGAGACAUUGUAAUGAUUGGAAAAUCUUCUUGAUAUCCUCCUGAUAAAGGGGACAACGUCUUCCCAGAUAGCCUGGACAGAGAAAACUCUUCCUUCAUGGAAUGUCACCAUCUGGCACAAUCAUUCUUCACUUGAGCCAAAGAAAAUUCAAACACACCCCCAAACAACUAGCACACCAUGGAAAGAGAAAAUCUAAUGGCUUCUUGCUAUAGUUUGAAUGUGAAAUGUGCCCCACAGGCUCAUGCAUUUCAAUUGGUGAUGCCAUUUGGGAAAGCUGUGUGAUUUGUAAGGAUCAUACCUUGAUGGAAGAAGUGCAUCACUGGGGGCAGGACUAGAGAAGCCUAGCCCCGCUUCCUGUUUACUCUGCAUGUUUCAUGACUAUGCAUGUAAUGUGACCAGCUGUCCUCUGGCUCCAGCUGCCACACAACUCCCUGCUGUGAUGGAACAUAGACCCUUGAACUGUAAACCAGAAUAAACAACAAAGUCCCAACUCACCAAAAUCCCUUAUCAGUAAGGGAUACUUGCCCUAUAAAGAUUUCACUAAUAAAUGUUCAUGAAAAAUGGUUAAAACCUUCAGGGGUAUCCAAUCUUUUGACAUCUCAACAUGACAAUGUCAUCUACAAACGUUCUGGUUAGAAUCUGUAGUUACAGGAGAGCAGAUACCUGAGAUUCACACAUGGUAGCUUGGAAAGACCUGCCAAAUGACAGGGUCUCUAACUUGAGAUGGUUUGACUUACAUUUUUCAAUUUUAUUGUGGUACAAGAUCAAUAAGCAUCCUGUAAGAACUACACUUCAAAUCUUUCAUCUGGAUCUUUUCUAAGACUAGUCUUUUUAUGCAGUUAGCCAUAUUCUAUCAUGGGCUAUUUGUAAGUUAUGAUUCUCAGUCGGUCAUAUUAUUAAAUGUUUUUGUCACAAUGAUGAUUCCAAUUUAUGGAUGUUUAUGAGGAUGUAACUCUAAGUCACAAAGCACUUGUAGCUUCUUUGACAUUAUUGCUAAGUAACAGGGAGUGUGCACUGUGCCUGCCUGCCUGCCU